RNAcentral lists this ribosomal RNA (232 nucleotides) under uncultured bacterium. Its description in RNAcentral is "partial 16S ribosomal RNA". It matches the Rfam family "Bacterial small subunit ribosomal RNA", at positions 118 to 347 of the family's 1533-position model. The record is from RNAcentral.
UGAGCAACCUGCCCUUGACCCUGGAAUAACAGCUGGAAACAGCUGCUAAUACCGGAUACGACCUCCGAUGGCAUCAUCUGGAGGUGGAAAGCUCCGACGGUCAAGGAUGGGCCCGCGGCCUAUCAGCUUGUUGGUGAGGUAACGGCUCACCAAGGCUUCGACGGGUAGCCGGCCUGAGAGGGCGACCGGCCACACUGGGACUGAGAUACGGCCCAGACUCCUACGGGAGCAG